AUUGAACGCUGGCGGCAGGCCUAACACAUGCAAGUCGAACGGUAACAGGAAGCAGCUUGCUGCUUCGCUGACGAGUGGCGGACGGGUGAGUAAUGUCUGGGAAGCUGCCUGAUGGAGGGGGAUAACUACUGGAAACGGUAGCUAAUACCGCAUAAUGUCGCAAGACCAAAGAGGGGGAGCUUCGGGCCUCUUGCCAUCGGAUGUGCCCAGAUGGGAUUAGCUUGUUGGUGGGGUAACGGCUCACCAAGGCGACGAUCCCUAGCUGGUCUGAGAGGAUGACCAGCCACACUGGGACUGAGACACGGUCCAGACUCCUACGGGAGGCAGCAGUGGGGAAUAUUGCACAAUGGGCGCAAGCCUGAUGCAGCCAUGCCGCGUGUAUGAAGAAGGCCUUCGGGUUGUAAAGUACUUUCAGCGGGGAGGAAGGGAGUAAAGUUAAUACCUUUGCUCAUUGACGUUACCCGCAGAAGAAGCACCGGCUAACUCCGUG
Molecule: ribosomal RNA, 490 nt
Filed under: uncultured bacterium
Lineage: Bacteria
Description: partial 16S ribosomal RNA
Rfam family: Bacterial small subunit ribosomal RNA
Source: RNAcentral